Molecule: ribosomal RNA, 418 nt
Filed under: Brevibacillus brevis
Lineage: Bacteria; Bacillati; Bacillota; Bacilli; Caryophanales; Paenibacillaceae
Description: bacterial SSU rRNA
Rfam family: Bacterial small subunit ribosomal RNA
Source: RNAcentral
AUUCAGUUGGGCACUCUAGAGAGACUGCCGUCGACAAGACGGAGGAAGGCGGGGAUGACGUCAAAUCAUCAUGCCCCUUAUGACCUGGGCUACACACGUGCUACAAUGGUUGGUACAACGGGAUGCUACCUCGCGAGAGGACGCCAAUCUCUUAAAACCAAUCUCAGUUCGGAUUGUAGGCUGCAACUCGCCUACAUGAAGUCGGAAUCGCUAGUAAUCGCGGAUCAGCAUGCCGCGGUGAAUACGUUCCCGGGCCUUGUACACACCGCCCGUCACACCACGGGAGUUUGCAACACCCGAAGUCGGUGAGGUAACCGCAAGGAGCCAGCCGCCGAAGGUGGGGUAGAUGACUGGGGUGAAGUCGUAACAAGGUAUCCGUACCGGAAGGUGCGGAUGGAUCACCUCCUUUCUAUGGAGA